AGCUGUGGGUGCAUUUUGAAUAAAACAUCUGUUACCCCUUGGUUGCCAAGGCUGAUUCAGCUGAUUGGCUGGCUAGGCAAGCGUCUCUGUGCUUUCCCAUGUCUUUAUGAGUAUCCGUCUCGGAGCUGACCUCUUGUCAGAGCCACCUUCCUUGAUGGAGGAGGGCCAUUCUUCAGUCAGGGUUUUAUGAAUGUCUGCUCCCCCCAACUGGAACCUCCAAACAAGCUCCAGACAGCCUGUUUCCACCCCAUGUGAAGGCCCUUGUGUCGGCAUACAUGGGAAAGUCCUGAAAACCUGUUCCCCACCCCCUAGGUUUUCAACGCCCCAAAGCCAAAGUGG
Molecule: small nuclear RNA, 339 nt
Filed under: Peromyscus maniculatus bairdii (prairie deer mouse)
Lineage: Eukaryota; Metazoa; Chordata; Mammalia; Rodentia; Cricetidae
Description: 7SK RNA (ENSPEMG00000004242.2)
Rfam family: 7SK RNA
About the family: 7SK was discovered as an abundant small nuclear RNA in the mid-70s but a possible function has only recently been suggested. Two independent studies have found that 7SK RNA binds the CDK9/cyclin T complex (known as elongation factor P-TEFb). P-TEFb activates transcription by phosphorylating the C-terminal domain of RNA polymerase II.
Source: Rfam by way of RNAcentral